CAGUAGCCGCGGGAAUACGGAGGAUCCAAGCGUUAUCCGGAUUUAUUGGGUUUAAAGGGUGCGUAGGUGGCUUUUUAAGUCAGGGGUGAAAGACGGUAGCUUAACUAUCGCAGUGCCUUUGAUACUGAAGAGCUUGAAUGAACUAGAGGUAGGCGGAAUGUGACAAGUAGCGGUGAAAUGCAUAGAUAUGUCACAGAACACCAAUUGCGAAGGCAGCUUACUAUGGUUUUAUUGACACUGAGGCACGAAAGCGUGGGGAUCAAACAGGAUUAGAUACCCCAGUAGUCCCUGUCUCUUAUAC
This 301-nucleotide ribosomal RNA is filed under the name uncultured bacterium. RNAcentral's name for it is "partial 16S ribosomal RNA". It matches the Rfam family "Bacterial small subunit ribosomal RNA", at positions 509 to 807 of the family's 1533-position model. The record is from RNAcentral.